This 74-nucleotide transfer RNA is filed under the name Pteropus alecto (black flying fox). It matches the Rfam family "tRNA". Rfam says of the family: Transfer RNA (tRNA) molecules are approximately 80 nucleotides in length. Their secondary structure includes four short double-helical elements and three loops (D, anti-codon, and T loops). Further hydrogen bonds mediate the characteristic L-shaped molecular structure. tRNAs have two regions of fundamental functional importance: the anti-codon, which is responsible for specific mRNA codon recognition, and the 3' end, to which the tRNAs corresponding amino acid is attached (by aminoacyl-tRNA synthetases). tRNAs cope with the degeneracy of the genetic code in two manners: having more than one tRNA (with a specific anti-codon) for a particular amino acid; and 'wobble' base-pairing, i.e. permitting non-standard base-pairing at the 3rd anti-codon position. The record is from Rfam by way of RNAcentral. Lineage: Eukaryota; Metazoa; Chordata; Mammalia; Chiroptera; Pteropodidae.
GGCCCCAUAGUGUAGCGGUUAGCAUGUCUGCUUUACAUGCAGAAGGUCCUAGGUUCGUGUCCCAGGUGGAGCCA